RNAcentral lists this long non-coding RNA (933 nucleotides) under Ananas comosus (pineapple). RNAcentral's name for it is "long non-coding RNA (ACOM_LNC026521)". The record is from RNAcentral. Lineage: Eukaryota; Viridiplantae; Streptophyta; Magnoliopsida; Poales; Bromeliaceae.
UGAUUUGGGUAGAUACAGGCGUACGGUCGAGGGAGAGAGGGAUUUCCAGGGAAGCAGCUGAUCUGCGGAGAGGUGCCGAAAACACGGAGAGGAAAGGUAAGGAAGAAGUACAGUGCCAGCGGAGUUGCGCGGCGCCAUUAAAUGCGCCGUUUUGGGUAGAUACAGGCGAACGGUCUAGGGAGAGAGCGAUUUCCGGGGAAGCGGCGGAUCCGCGGAGAGGGUAACGCUAGGCGAACAUAGGGUUCGCGAGAAAGGGAGAGGGAGAAGUUGCUGCGCAAGGGACCCACAUGCCGAAAACGCGAAGGAGAGGUAAGGAAGAAGUACAGUGCCAGCGGAAAGACGCGGAGAUGAGAGGUAAGGAAGAAGUACAGUGCCAGCGAAGAUGUACGAAGCCACACAGAGGGCGAGAGGGGGAACCGAAAAUGCGGACAAAAAGGACCGAAAACAGGGAGAGGAAAAGGCGGAGAGAGUGGAACCUAAAAGGCAAACAUGAGGGACCCACCCAAACCGAAAACGCGGAUGCACUGUGGAGCAAGUUUUCGGUUUGCCCUUUAAUGUAUUGGUAUUGAUUGUGAUUAUAAUAUAGUUUGUUUUAUUCUUUUUUCAUAAUUUUUUUGGAACUAUUUUAUUCUUAGAUUUUGUUUAGUGAUUAUGGGGAGAUUGUGUUGCGCAAAGAAGUAUAAUAGAAAAAUACCCUAUUUGUUUCGUAUGCAAUAUUAUAUUCCACAUAUCGCAAUAAGUUGGUUACAUAAUAUUUCCUACGGUCUGAACAGAAAAUACAAAAGUAUAUCCUUAUAUGCUUUCGCACUGACUCAAAUUUACCUAUUGGUCACACCAAUUCAAUUUUAUUAAUUGGUAUUAGAUGAACCUCAAUACCAAAAUGGCCUUUAAAAUAUUACAGGAAAACACCAAAUAUAUAAACAAAUAAAAUAA